UACGUAGGGAGCAAGCGUUGUCCGGAAUCAUUGGGCGUAAAGCGCGCGUAGGCGGCCUCAUAAGUCCGUUGUGAAAGUCAAAGGCUCAACCUUUGAAAGCCGAUGGAUACUGUGAGGCUAGAGUCCGGAAGAGGCGAGUGGAAUUCCUGGUGUAGCGGUGGAAUGCGCAGAUAUCAGGAGGAACACCAAUAGCGAAGGCAGCUCGCUGGGACGGUAUUGACGCUAAGGCGCGAAAGCGUGGGGAGCAAACAGG
Molecule: ribosomal RNA, 253 nt
Filed under: uncultured bacterium
Lineage: Bacteria
Description: partial 16S ribosomal RNA
Rfam family: Bacterial small subunit ribosomal RNA
Source: RNAcentral